GUGAGGAAUUUUCCGCAAUGGGCGAAAGCCUGACGGAGCAAUGCCGCGUGAAGGAUGAAGGCCUAUGGGUUGUAAACUUCUUUUCUCAGAAAAGAAUUAUGACGGUAUCUGAGGAAUAAGCAUCGGCUAACUCUGUGCCAGCAGCCGCGGUAAGACAGAGGAUGCAAGCGUUAUCCGGAAUGAUUGGGCGUAAAGCGUCUGUAGGUUGUUUACAAAGUAUUCUGUCAAAGAUUAGGGCUUAACCCUAGAUAGGCAGAAUAAACUUUUAAGCUAGAAUUUGGUAGAGGCAGAGGGAAUUCCCGGUGGAGCGGUGAAAUGCGUAGAUAGCGGGAGGAACAACAAAGGCGAAGGCACUCUGCUGGGCCAAUACUAACACUGAGAGACGAAAGCGAGGGAAGCAAAUGAGAUUAGAUACCCGAGUAGUCC
This 426-nucleotide ribosomal RNA is filed under the name uncultured bacterium. Its description in RNAcentral is "partial 16S ribosomal RNA". It matches the Rfam family "Bacterial small subunit ribosomal RNA", at positions 354 to 796 of the family's 1533-position model. The record is from RNAcentral.